Non-coding RNA from Acanthosepion pharaonis, 92 nucleotides. The record is from the annotation of a GenBank genome assembly. NCBI's taxonomy places the organism in Eukaryota, Metazoa, Mollusca, Cephalopoda, Sepiida, Sepiidae.
UACACCGGUUCUUGUACGAUCACCGAAGUUAAGCAAGGAUGAGUCUGGUCACUAAUUUGAUAGGUGACCGCUUGGGAAUACCAGGUGUAGUA